CCCAAAGGACGGGGUUAAAAGGGAAUCCGGUGUGAAGCCGGAACAGUACUCGCUGCUGUGAGUUCCGCCUCUGCGGAGGUAAUGUCGUGCACGACGCCACUGACCCGUCGGUCGGGAAGGCGCACGGCGGGGAACGAGUCAGAAGACCUGCCCGAAUGU
Molecule: non-coding RNA, 159 nt
Filed under: uncultured Alistipes sp.
Lineage: Bacteria; Pseudomonadati; Bacteroidota; Bacteroidia; Bacteroidales; Rikenellaceae
Source: RNAcentral